This 445-nucleotide ribosomal RNA is filed under the name uncultured bacterium. RNAcentral describes it as "partial 16S ribosomal RNA". It matches the Rfam family "Bacterial small subunit ribosomal RNA", at positions 354 to 796 of the family's 1533-position model. The record is from RNAcentral.
GUGAGGAAUAUUGCGCAAUGGAGGCAACUCUGACGCAGCCAUGCCACGUGCAGGAAGAAGGCGCUACGCGUUGUAAACUGCUUUUAACCGGGAAGAAACCCCAGGACGUGUCCUGGGUUGACGGUACCGGAGGAAUAAGCACCGGCUAACUUCGUGCCAGCAGCCGCGGUAAUACGAAGGGUGCAAGCGUUAUCCGGAUUCCUUGGGUUUAAAGGGCGCGUAGGCGGAGCGUUAAGUCAGUGGUGAAAUCCUGCAGCUUAACUGUAGGCUUGCCAUUGAUACUGGCGCUCUUGAGUGCGCUUGAAGUGGGCGGAAUGUGCCGUGUAGCGGUGAAAUGCUUAGAUAUGGCACAGAACACCAAUUGCGAAGGCAGCUCACUAAGGCGAUACUGACGCUGAGGCACGAAAGCGUGGGGAUCGAACAGGAUUAGAUACCCUAGUAGUCC